Long non-coding RNA from Oryza sativa Japonica Group (Japanese rice), 3313 nucleotides. RefSeq lists it as uncharacterized. The record is from RefSeq and is a predicted model, not a curated record. Lineage: Eukaryota; Viridiplantae; Streptophyta; Magnoliopsida; Poales; Poaceae.
AAAAAAAAAACCCAUUUUGCGUGUACUGAUGAUCCGAUCAGAUAACAGAAGCCAGAGCAACACAAUGUUUUGUAUUGUCAGAGCAGGAUGUUUUUAGGGUUCAGAAAAAUUCCCAAUUUGCAUGUACGAGUUGAGUAGGUUUACCGCCUCCGUCGGCUCCAAGUGCGACGGGGCAGAGGCCGGCGCAGACGACGGCGGCGGACCCGCCCGACGAGCCGCCGGCCACCUUGCCGGUGUUGUACGGAUUCCUCGUCGAUCUGAAACCAUCAAACCAGGUAAGAAACCCAUUGGUAAAAGGGUAAAAAAAUUGUGAUUUGGAGACCGCGCGGAUGAUGAACAGGACGACGACAAGUGAUGCGUACCCAUGGUGCGGGUUGAUGCCGCUGGUGCCGGCGCCGAGCUCGUGCAUGUUGGUCUUGCCGGCGAGCACCGCGCCGCACGCCCGCAGCUGCGCCACCACCGCCGCGUCCUGCACGCACGGCCGCAUCCUCUGCAGCCAUCUCGUUCCUCCUGUUCAUAUGCGUCUUUGAUCAGUUUCAGGGUACAGUACAACCAAUCAGACAUAACAUUUCCACCCCUAAAUAUAAAACUAGUAUAUAUGAUUUAGGGCCUACCCUAGUAUCGUAUUGGUCUCACUUUAAACCAUACCAUUUUGGGGUAAAAUUGACAGACAUGUGGAUGAAUUUAGUCUGUUAUCAAAUAUUGGUAAUGUGUAAAAAAUUGACAGCACAUUUAGCCUAUCAUACCAAAACUCGGCAAUGUUGCCAACCUAUCAAAUUUUGGUAUUGCCAAAUUUUGGAAAUAUUCAUUUUGACAGUAAUCUGAACUGGUCUUUAUUUAUCAUGUUUGCUAUGUCGACAUAGAUUUGGUCCUGACAUUAGUUAGAAUCUUCAGAUUCAUACACUCUCUUUCUUCAGAAAAAAUGUUUUUAAUUUGCAAACAGUAUUUCAUAGCAUGGCCAAUGCAAUAAUUUAUUUUGUCCCCUACAAAAAAACGAGUUAGUACAGCCUACUGUAGCUAAUUUAAAAAAUAAAAGCACCGAUUUCUCUCUUUUUGCAACAAAUCGGAUCACGUCUUCUGUUGAUGAACAGUAUCAAUCCAAAACACACAUGCCAAUUGUCAGCACUCAUUUUGCAAGAAGCAAACGAUCGACGGACAGUGUGUACGGCGAUGAACAGUGUCAUCAGAAUCAUCCGACCGUACCGGGGCCUCCUCUCCAUGGCGGCAGCAGCUCUACCUACCGUCCUGCAGCUGAUUAAAUCCUGAUUCCGAUUGCUUUUUACCUCCUGUUCUUAUAUAUGAUUCGACAACCUUAGCACCGUUGAUGAUACCUGAUCUUGUGAUGUUCUUACCUGUUGUUGGGUAUGGCAGGCAGUCGAUCUCGUCUUUGACGGCCACCAGGACGCCAUCCAUGGCAGAGAGAGGAGCUCCUGCAGUUAAUUAGCAUCAAGAACAGUCAAACACUUGACAUAAUCCAAGAACAAUUAACAGUUAACAGAAGCCAAGAAAUGAAAUGGUGCAUGCAAUCGAUCAGGUAAAAGCUGCAUGAAUGCAAAGAGUAAACGAUGAGAUACUGCAACAACAGAUGCAUCAGCACAACGAGAUGCCUUCAAUUGCAACAGAUCAGCAGGCCAGGCCCUGCAAGGAAUGUAGUAUUGGCCUCUGCGUGCAACCACAUGCAGUGGCAACUAACCGUCCCUAUGAGCUAUCAAUGCUGGAUCAGGACCAUGCAAUGCUUUCAGAUUCGAUCAAGCAAGCAAAGAGCUAGUCUAGUCAAUGCAUGAUCAUUAGGGGAUGAUGCCGAUGCCAUUUCUAUGGAAUCUUUCAUCAGAAAGCCCCUUCUGUUCGAAGUCUGAACAUUUUGCUCCAUGUCAGAUUAGUCCGAGCCCUGAAUCUGCUGCAAGCUGCGUGUUGUUUCAUUGUGGAAACAUCUCUUUCAGAGACCAGUCCGUGCAUUGGCAGGCUCUGACAAUGCCUUCCUGUAAAGCAUCUGCUGAUACUGUUCAUCCAGCUGGUCAGUUCCAGACUGCAAUGGCAGUAAUAGUAGUACUUCUUCACCAGUACUACAAGUAAAAACUCAUGGCCGGAAGCAUGCAAGUUGGUAGUAGCAUACAGAAGUAAACAUGGUGGUUAUGACAGUUUAAUUUCUGCAGAUUCUCUGAACCUAAAUGUCAAUGGUGAUGAAGGCUAGACACUGAGGCACUUGCUGAGUACUGCUAGUAUGAUAUAAUUACUGUUUAAUGCUCGAAUGAUUCAUUGAUUUUGAUUUGUUGAUACGGUUCUUUGGCAUAAUGUACACUGAAAAUGUAGUUAAUUUUGUUUACCUUGCUGGUAUCUGAGGGUGGAUGCCUCGGCCUGUCUGAUGACGUCCUGAGGAUUGCAGCUGAUGAACAAGGCCAUGUUCAGAUCAGGGCCUGAACACUCCUUCACUGCAGCGAGAAAUCUCCUCGCAACCUGCCAGCAAUGCAGUACAAGCUAAUUGGGUAGCAUUCAUGAACAAGAAUACCUCUAACCUACUAAAAUUCAGAGUGAUCUCUCCUGAGAUGUAGGCACUGGUGAAGUCCCGGAUUGUCCAGCGCCUGAACCCCGGCGAUGGCGGGUCAGCGAGCACCGAUUCGAGGCGAGCCGGGAGGCAGACGACGGCCUCCUGAACGCGCUCUGCCGGCGACAUGUCUGGCUUCGUCAGGCUCACAUUCUGCUCAGGGAUGUCUGCAAUGAAGCAACAGCAGCAGGAGCAGCAGUAUUUUCAGAAGAAGUGAUGAUCAUCUACCUUGUUGACAAGAUUGUCUCUCUUGAGGAUGUAGAGCACGAUUGAGCCGAUGAUCGGCGCCUCAAGAACCCAUGCGAAUAUCUUCACCAGAAGCCCAGCAACCCGUGGAGCUGAAGAAAGCAAUAAAACAAAAAUGAUCAGACAUAAGCAUACAAAUCACUUCCAAGAACUGAAAUUCUGAAUUCUGAAUGCAAAAGCUCUUUGACAUGAAAAUGGACAGAAAAUUCAGCAAGAGCUUGUAACCUUUGACGUUGGGGCUGAUGUAGAACUCGUUGCUGUCGGCGCCGAGAUUGACCUCCGACGCCGGCUUGUACACCUUGGGAGCCGAGCUGAAGACACCCAUGGAUGGAAGCUGAUGAGCUGAGCUGAGCUCAAGAAGAACAAAGACCUUUGCUUGCUCAACAAUGGGAGACGAUUCGAGUGUGCGAUAGAGUGCAACCAUGCCACAGCUUAUGUAGUACUCCAUGUCGCAGUUUUGGACGGUAGUGUGGAGGUGGUUGCAUCUUACAGAGGUAAAUUCAAUCGUACGGAACCUACAGUUAC